UACGGAGGGUGCAAGCGUUAUCCGGAAUCAUUGGGUUUAAAGGGUACGUAGGCGGUACUAUAAGUCAGAGGUGAAAGUUUGCAGCUUAACUGUAAAAUUGCCUUUGAAACUGUAGUACUUGAGAUAGGACGCCGUUGGCGGAAUGUGUAGUGUAGCGGUGAAAUGCUUAGAUAUUACACAGAACACCGAUUGCGAAGGCAGCUAACGAGGCCUAUUCUGACGCUGAGGUACGAAAGCGUGGGUAGCGAACGGG
RNAcentral lists this ribosomal RNA (253 nucleotides) under uncultured bacterium. RNAcentral describes it as "partial 16S ribosomal RNA". It matches the Rfam family "Bacterial small subunit ribosomal RNA", at positions 524 to 776 of the family's 1533-position model. The record is from RNAcentral.